This 696-nucleotide ribosomal RNA is filed under the name uncultured Bacteroidota bacterium. RNAcentral describes it as "bacterial SSU rRNA". It matches the Rfam family "Bacterial small subunit ribosomal RNA", at positions 61 to 748 of the family's 1533-position model. The record is from RNAcentral. Lineage: Bacteria; Pseudomonadati; Bacteroidota.
GUCGAGGGGCAGCAGGUUUGUAGCAAUACAGAUGCUGGCGACCGGCACACGGGUGCGGAACACGUACGCAACCUUCCUCUAACUGGGAGAUAGCCCACCGAAAGGUGGAUUAAUACCCCAUAAUAUAUUUGAGUGGCAUCACUUGGAUAUUAAAGCUCCGGCGGUUAGAGAUGGGCGUGCGUCUGAUUAGGUAGUUGGUGAGGUAACGGCUCACCAAGCCUGCGAUCAGUAGCUGAUGUGAGAGCAUGAUCAGCCACACGGGCACUGAGACACGGGCCCGACUCCUACGGGAGGCAGCAGUAAGGAAUAUUGGUCAAUGGACGCAAGUCUGAACCAGCCAUGCCGCGUGGAGGAUGAAGGUCCUCUGGAUUGUAAACUUCUUUUCUCUGGGACGAAACCCCCGAUUUCCAUCGGGCCUGACGGUACCAGAGGAAUAAGCACCGGCUAACUCCGUGCCAGCAGCCGCGGUAAUACGGAGGGUGCAAGCGUUAUCCGGAUUUACUGGGUUUAAAGGGAGCGUAGGCGGGCAGUUAAGUCAGUGGUGAAAUCUCUGGGCUUAACCCGGAAACUGCCAUUGAUACUAUCUGUCUUGAAUAUUCUGGAGGUAAGCGGAAUAUGUCAUGUAGCGGUGAAAUGCUUAGAUAUGACAUAGAACACCCAUUGCGAAGGCAGCUUACUACGGAAUGAUUGACGCUG